This 5552-nucleotide long non-coding RNA is filed under the name Homo sapiens (human). RNAcentral's name for it is "non-protein coding lnc-PRSS27-4:14". The record is from RNAcentral. Lineage: Eukaryota; Metazoa; Chordata; Mammalia; Primates; Hominidae.
ACAGCGUGAGGGCCGCCGUUGCUGGAGUUCAGCUUAGGGAAGGAGGACUCUGAGGAGGCCCCGAGCGGCGGAGCGCUUCGGGGGAGGCGCCCGCGCAGACGCGAGGCCCAUAGCCAGGACCACCACCUAGCUGUUCUACAGUCUGGGGACGACGGUUUAAAAAUUUAUGCCUUGCAUGCGAUGUGCAGUGGGUGAUGGAAGAACGUCUACAUGGCUUUAAAAUUGGAUUUAAAAGGCAAAUAUUUUAAAUGAAGGAAAACCCAAGAAGUUUACUUGAUUCCUUAUCUUCCAGGAUGCGACUUUUGUUUAUUUAUUUAUUUUAUUUUGAUGGAGUCUCGCUGCCGUCGCGCAGGCUGGAGUGCAGUGACGCGAUCUUGACCCGGGAACCUCCACCUCCCGGGUUCAAGCGAUUCUCCUUCCUCAACCACCCGAGUAGCUGGGAUUACAGGCGUGUGCCACCAUGCCCGGCUAAUUUUUGUGUUUUUAGUAGAGACCGGGGAAGGUAUGGGCCCUCUUUUGAGAAAAAUGCAGAGUGACACUGAAUUUUGUAACUACAUCAGGAGGCUCUUGAACCUUCUGCAGCUCACUCGUGGAGUUUGUAGAGAUGCGUAAUAAUCCGAAGUGUUAAGGAAGAAGGUUCUGUUGAGAAAAAGUUGGAGGGCUGAAAGGGAUGCCUUUCGCUAUUUCGACAUGUGUGGCUGUACCCCAGAGUGCCCUGGCUAACACGCAAAACCAUGAAUUAGGCGGCUUGGCGAGGCUCAGUGGAGGCUGGGGCCGAGAGUCAUGUCAAAGUUUGUGGGGUUAACCUGCACCCAGUGACAGUCAUGGCGAAGUUUGUGAGGUUAACUCGCACCCAGUAACGCUGUUCCAAUGCAAGGUGUGUAUUUGGUGUCAUCCACGGGAAGAGGAAACAGCAAAUUUUCUCAUGGCCUUGGCAGUUCCACAUGAUGGACAUUUCAUAUCUGCAGUUUUCUUCGCAUGAGAUGGCUUUUUUGCACAAAAACACUGGAAUCCAGUGAGCAAGAAUGAUAGAAUGCAAGAUGGAUUUCCACAUGAGGAAGUGUCACGAACAAGCGUUUUGCAUCUCUGUCAGCUGGAUUCCCCCAUGUGUACGUAUGUGAGAACAUGCCGUGUUUCCUGUCUGUAAUGGUAGAGGCAGCCCUGAUACUGGAUUUUCACCUGAGGAUGGAUAGAUCUUCAGGGUUCAAGUGGGUUUGCAUCUGGACUUUAGGGUGGCCCUGUAGGCCCUGUGUGAGAAGCCCCCUUCCCAGUGAACUUUCCCUUGUGUGCCCGCGUGGACAGCCAACAGGGGGAGCAGUGCGAGCGUGAAGGCAGACAGUGGCCUGGCCCAGUCUGAUGGUAAGUGGGCCAGAGGCAGUGAGUACCAUUUCUUGAUCUGACUACUCAAGACAGGCGCUUCCCUAGGUACUUUCACACCUCAUUGCGAGGUACGUGUUGUUCCCAUUUUACAGGUGCAGAAGCUGAGCUGCAGAGGCGUUAGGUACCUGCCUCAUAAGUGGUAGAGACUCCAGUGUCACCCUGCCCCUCACGUUCGGAGCCCCCGAGGGAGGGUCUGCCGGGCAGCUCAGCCCAGCACUCUGUAAGGAAAUCUUCAGUGCCACUGCCCAGGAUGUCUUCCCGGGGAUUGGGCCUGAAUGUCUUGACCAUGCCGUGCUGGAGGUAGGAGGGGUGUCUUCAUAUGGAAGAACUGUACAUAUUUCUUUGGCAGAUGGCUGAACUCUGUGACCCCGGGGCCUGUUUCAGCCUCCUGCUGUCAGAAAGCAGCUGUUUGGGAAGAGGCUGUGAUUCGGCCUUGUUUGAGGGCCGAUACUCUGAAUGGGUGAGGCUUGGAAUCCUCCCUUUGGAACAAAGAAACAUAAUGAUUUUGCUGAAGGUAGAAUUGGGGGACUAGGCAGAGUGGCCUCCUGCCCUCCCUGGGGUGGUUCUGUCUUUUGCAAAGGUGGCUGCAUCCUUAGGGGAAGGUGAGGGGAGAAGCAGGGAGCAUGGAGAGAAGUGGCUUUCGAUUUUCUCUCUCCUUUUGGGGAGUUCCUCCUUAUGUGGCUGGUCUGGUGCAUAGUGUGAUGUAUUCCUGUACGCAACGUUGCCCUGACAGCCAGUCCAAGCUGAGUCUAGAGCUGGCAAGGUGAGCUCCCAGUAGUAAGAGGGUGUGGGCGGCAAGCCACCCAGGCACCGAGGCAAGAGACAGAGGACACGAGCUGUUCCAGUAUAAUAAAAUAUAAAACAAGAAUAGUUAUACCAGAUAUAGAUCUUAGAUAUGAUUAUAUAUGAAUAUCAUUAAUCAUGAGUUUGCAGCAAUUACUUUUUAUUCCAAUAUUAUGAUAAUCCUCGCUCUAUAAUCAUAGCCUAGGAAAAACCAGGCCAUACAGAGGAGCUGAGGGGACAUAGUGAGGUGUGACCAGAAGACAAGAGUGCGAGGCUUCUGUUAUGCCCGGACAGGGCCACAAGAGGGCUCCUUGGUCUAGCGGUGACGCCAGCGUCUGGGAAGACGCCCGUUACCCGGCGGAUCGUGGCCCAGUGGUAGCAAAAGGUGUCAAGGAACAACACUCACUACUUAGCAGACCGGGAAAGGGGCGGGGGGGGGGUCUCCCUUUCCCCGGGGGAGUUUAGAAAAGACUCUGCUCCUCCACCUCUUGUGGAGGGCCUGACAUCAGUCAGGCUUGCCCGUAGUUAUCCGGAGGCCUAACUGUCUCCCUGUGAUGCUGUGCUUCAGUGGUCACACUCCUUGUCUGCCUUCAUGUUCCAUCCUGUACACCUGGCUCUGCCUUCUAGAUAGCAGUAGUAAAUUAGUGAAAAUACUAAUAGUCCCUGAUAUGCAGAAAUAAUGGUAUAAGCUGUCUUUCUCUCUGUCUCCUCUCCCUCUCUGCCUCGGCUGCCAGGCAGGGAAGGGCCCCCUGUCCAGUGGACACGUGACCCACGUGACCUUACCUAUCAUUGGAGGUGACUCACAUUCUUUACCCUGCCCCUUCUGUCUUGUAUCCGAUAAAUAACAGCGCAGUCAGACAUUCGGGGCCACUACCGGUCUCCGCGCAUUGGUGGUAGUGGUCCCCCGGGCCCAGCUGCCUUUUCUCUUAUCUCUCUGUCUUGUGUCUUUAUUUCUACACUCUCUCAUCGCCACACACAGGGAGAGACCCACCGACCCUGUGGGGCUGGUCCCUACAUCUGGCGCUCUGACGUGGGGCUCUCCCUCGCUGUGUGAAGUUGCACCCUGAGUGCGGGAUCAGCGGAGGAGUUCAACGAGAGAUUCCUGAGGAUUGCAGUCUAUAAACUUGGUGGAAAAGAACUACAGCCUGUGUGGGUCCCCUCCCGACAAUUAAAAUUGCACCAUAACUCCAAAGAUGAAACGCUCCCAGAAAGAAAAGGCAAAGACCCAUCGGAAACAAAAGAGCAACUUUCACCGCCUGAUACAUACACUUCAUGACAUCCACAUUGAGACAAAAUCUCGCCGUGUGACCUACAACACCUCUCGUUCAACCCCACCUACUUGGGGUCGAAUACAGAUUUUAUCUCAUCAAACAGAAAAAUUCUUAACAGAAAAAGGAAUCCCAAAAAUGACUGGUAAUAUAAUUCUGGCUGCCUUUAUGGUAGUCAGUGCAGCGGUAAGUAUACCACCGGUCGGGGCAACUCAAAAUUAUACUUAUUGGGCAUAUGUUCCUUUUCCCCUUCUAAUUCGGUCUGUCUCCUGGAGGGACUCUCCAGUAGAAGUUUACACUAAUAAUAGUGCAUUCAUGCCGAUCCCUAAUGAUGAUCGGUUUCCAGCUCAACCGGAAGAAGAAGGUAUGCACUUUAAUCUGUCAAUUGGCUAUAAAUAUCCACCAUUAUGUAUUGGGAAGUCGCCUGGUUGUUUAGCUUAUUCUUAACAGAAUUGGAUGUGGACUGUACCGUCCUUUACAAAUGAUUCUUAUCAAGUAUAUAAUGUGUUCAGUACUAACUCUUUUCAACUUCUCACUGUCAAACGUACCCCACAUGAGGCAUGGAGAGUUCCUCUCACUACCAAAACUAAUAAAACAAAAGGACUGCCGGACUGUCCAAAGAAACCUACAAAUGGGCCUUUUAUAGUGACUUCAAUUUUAUGGGAUAAUUGUAAUGCUCCCAAGGCUGUUGUACUCCAAACUCUAGCCAUGGGUAUUGUUAUUGAUUGGGCUCCAAAAGGACAUUAUUGGCAAGAUUGCUCCAGCAAAAAUACCUUAUGCUCGGAGUUUAUUUAUUCCUUAGAUUAUAUAGAGCAUGGGUGGCAGUCUUACACGAUGAGACAACGGGUGUCUCCUUACCCAUUUAAAUGGAUGGACACAGGUAUUGCUCCUCCUAGACCAAAAAUUAUUCAUCCCUUUUUUACCCCAGAACAUCCUGAACUAUGGAAAUUAGCUGCAGCUUUGUCGGGAAUAAAGAUAUGGAACACUACCUAUCAGCUCCUUCGUACUAAAACCAAAACACCCACAUUCAACAUCACCCUUAUUUCUGAAUGGGUGAUACCCAUUAGGAGCUGUGUCAAACCCCCUUACAUGCUGUUGGUUGGAAAUAUAAUUAUGAUGCCUGAUGCACAAACUAUAGAAUGUCAUAACUGUAAGCUGUUCACUUGCAUUGAUGCAACUUUUAAUCCCACUACAAGUAUUCUCUUGGUAAGGGCUAGGGAGGGGGUAUGGAUACCAGUUUCUCUACAUCGUCCAUGGGAGUCUUCCCCCUCUAUUCACAUAGUCAAUGAAGUUCUUAAAGACAUCCUCAAAAGAACAAAGAGAUUUAUUUUUACUCUUAUUGCAGUCCUUGCAGGACUACUUGCGGUUACUGCAACAGCAGCAACUGCUGGAGUUGCCAUCCGCAGUUCUGUUCAAACUGCUCACUAUGUUGAAGCAUGCCAGAAAAAUUCCUCCAGACUUUGGAAUUCUCAGGCGCAAAUUGAUCAAAAAUUAGCUAAUCAGAUUAAUGAUCUCCGCCAAAGUGUAACCUGGCUGGGAGAUAGAGUUAUGAACUUGCAACACCGUAUGCAAUUACAGUGUGAUUGGAAUACUUCUGAUUAUUGCAUAACGCCUUAUGCUUAUAAUCAAGAUCAACAUAGCUGGGAAAAUGUCUCAAGACAUUUAAAAGCCUGGGAUGAUAACUUAACCUUGGAUAUUUCACAACUUAAAGAGCAAAUCUUUGAGGCUUCACAAGCCCAUUUAUCCACAGUUCCUGGCUCACACAUUUUUGAAGGCAUAACUAAACAAUUACCUGAUUUUAAUCCCUUCAAAUGGCUCAAACCCGUCAGAGGAUCAUUGUUGUUACUGGCAUUAUUAAUAUUGGUAUGCUUAUGUUGUCUCCUUUUAGUCUGCAGAUGCCUCUAAGGAGUCCGAAACCAAGUCCGAAGUCAACAACAAGCAAUGAUGGCGAUGGCGAUUCUAGUUAAUAAAAAGGGGGGAGAUGUGGGCGGCAAGCCACCCAGGCACCGAGGCAAGAGACAGAGGACACGAGCUGUUCCAGUAUAAUAAAAUAUAAAACAAGAAUAGUUAUACCAGAUAUAGAUCUUAGAUAUGAUUAUAUACGAAUAUCAUUAAUCAUGA